AGAAGAAUGAACACCUGUCUAAAGAAAGACAAGGCAAGUUAGGCUUGGUUCUGAGCACCUGGGGUCUCAGAACUCAGGAUGAACUGGAGGCCAGACAAGGCUACAUAGAGCCCACGGAGACCAGAAGAUGUCUGGGACUGGAGGAAUUGGGGGUCUGCACCUAGUGACCAGAGAGGCCAGAAGCCUAACAAAUUAUCUGGAAUUGGAGUUAUAAGCCACUGUGAGUUGUUAUGCGGGUAUUGAGAAUCGAACCUGGGUGCUUCGGAAGAGCAGCCAGUGCUCUUCUUAACUAGCUGAACCACCUCUCCAGCCCCAGAACGUUCUCCUUUGCUAAUUGAUGAUUGAUGUCGCAGGGCCCAGCCCACUGUGGGUGGUACCAUCCCUAGGCAGGUGGUCCUGGCCUGGAUUAGAAAUCUAGAUAAACCUGAGCCUGCAAGCGGCAUUCCUCCCGCGGCUCUACUUCCAAGCUCCGCGUUUGAGUUUCUGCCCUAACUUUCCUGGAAGAAGGAUUGUGCCCUGGAAGUGUAAGAUGAAAUAAACCCUUUCCUCCCCUUA
Molecule: non-coding RNA, 555 nt
Organism: Peromyscus maniculatus bairdii (prairie deer mouse)
Lineage: Eukaryota; Metazoa; Chordata; Mammalia; Rodentia; Cricetidae
Source: RefSeq, a predicted model, not a curated record